GAGAAGUACGCUUCUAAUCGUCCUCGGACAAUUCUUGAACUCUGGUCUCAAAUCAGGUAGGGCUACCCGCUGAACUUAAGCAUAUCAAUAAGCGGAGGAAAAGAAACUAACAAGGAUUCCCUUAGUAACGGCGAGUGAACCGGGAAAAGCUCAAAUUUGUAAUCUGGCUGUCUUCGAUAGUCCGAGUUGUAAUCUAUAGACGUGUUUUCCGUGCUGGACCGUAUCUAAGUCCCUUGGAACAGGGUAUCAAAGAGGGUGACAAUCCCGUGCUUGAUACGACCACCAGUGCUCUGUGAUACACGCUCUACGAGUCGAGUUGUUUGGGAAUGCAGCUCAAAAUGGGUGGUAAAUUCCAUCUAAAGCUAAAUAUUGGCGAGAGACCGAUAGCGAACAAGUACCGUGAGGGAAAGAUGAAAAGCACUUUGGAAAGAGAGUUAAACAGUACGUGAAAUUGUUGAAAGGGAAACGAUUGAAGUCAGUCGUGUUCUUUGGAUUCAGCUAGUUCUUCUAGUCUACUUCCUUUGAACGGGUCAACAUCAGUUUUGUCCGGUGGAUAAAGAUAGUAGGAAUGUAGCUCCCUCGGGAGUGUUAUAGACUAUUAUUGCAUGCACUGGGUGAGACUGAGGACUGCAGCUCGCCUUUUGGCCGGCCUUCGGGUACGUUCGAGCUUAGGAUGUUGACAUAAUGGCUUU
RNAcentral lists this ribosomal RNA (692 nucleotides) under Cutaneotrichosporon moniliiforme. Its description in RNAcentral is "LSU rRNA". It matches the Rfam family "Eukaryotic large subunit ribosomal RNA", at positions 1 to 641 of the family's 3401-position model. The record is from RNAcentral. Lineage: Eukaryota; Fungi; Basidiomycota; Tremellomycetes; Trichosporonales; Trichosporonaceae.